Molecule: long non-coding RNA, 285 nt
Filed under: Calidris pugnax (ruff)
Lineage: Eukaryota; Metazoa; Chordata; Aves; Charadriiformes; Scolopacidae
Description: lncRNA (ENSCPUG00000009758.1)
Source: RNAcentral
GCUGCUGAAUUGAGAGAAUAUGUCUUCUGGCAUUCUGCAUGAAAUAGCCCAUUUGUAGGUCCGUGUGCCUGAAGAUUUGCCACUUAGGUUAUUCCUGUGGGAAACACACAGAAGAAUAAGACCUAGGAUUAUGCCUGUGACGGGAAAAGCUGCAGCGAUGACUAACUGAAAGGGAUGGUCCAUCACACACCAAAUACCACCUUCUUCCACCAGGAGAUGAGGCAACUGGCAGAAGCCAUCACCAUCAUUCCAAGAAAUCUUGUUUCUCUGCAACUGGAGAUUUAG